AUGUGCGGUGUAAGAGUCUCCGGGGAGUCCGACUUCGCCCGUGCCGCCUUCGACCACUUCUCGCCCGUCCUCGGGUCCCAGGAGGACCGUGCCUUCACUCUUGACUCUGACUCCAUCAAUCACAAGUCCUUCGACCUCUCCGCGCUUGAGGUCCCGUUCACCUUCGACGAGAUUUGGGAAGCUGUCAAGAAGCUCCCGUCUGGCAAAGCGCCUGGUCCGGAUGGGUUCACGGCGGAAUUCCUCCGUCCGUGCUGGGACACGAUCAAGUAUGACCUAUGAGCGGUUUUCGACAAGCUAUACACGCUCAAUGGGAGGGCUUUCUAGCGGCUGAACGAAGUACUCAUCACGAUGAUCCCGAAGAGGCCUGACGCUACCACACCGCUCGACUACCGCGCGAUUAGCCUUAUCCAUAUUGCCGCGAAGCAGUUUGCCAAGGUUCUCUCGCUCCAGCUUGCCCCACGGCUUGGAGAGAUGGUCUCCUCCAACAAGAGUGCCUUCAUCGCGGGACGGAGCGUCCAUGACAAUUUCAUCCUUGUCCAACAAACAGUCGGGUCGUCCUUAUUAAGCUCGACAUCGCCGUGCUUUCGACUCUGUCUCCUGGCCGUUCCUGAUCCAGAUCCUCGAGCACUUGGGUUUUGGGCCUCAGUGGCGCGAGUGGGUGUCCAUCCUCAUCUCGACAGCAUCCACGCGGGUGAUGGUCAAUGGCACUUCUGGCCCACCUAUCUUCCACCAGCAGGGACUUCGACAAGGUGA
This 753-nucleotide ribosomal RNA is filed under the name Triticum aestivum (bread wheat). RNAcentral's name for it is "partial small subunit ribosomal RNA". The record is from RNAcentral. Lineage: Eukaryota; Viridiplantae; Streptophyta; Magnoliopsida; Poales; Poaceae.